Molecule: long non-coding RNA, 618 nt
Organism: Lingula anatina
Lineage: Eukaryota; Metazoa; Brachiopoda; Lingulata; Lingulida; Lingulidae
Source: RefSeq, a predicted model, not a curated record
GACCAAGGUCAGUAGAAGAUGGAGAAGACAGAGGUUCUUGAGAAGGAACGCACUUGUCAAUGAGGAAUUGAGGGGCUUAUUGCCGCUGUCCAAAGGUCUGAACAAGUCCUCAACAAGUAAGACGACUGGACAGUGGCUCCCAACCGCUGUUUACCGGGUGAUUGGAUGCGUCGCCGAUCAAAGACAUCAGAUUCAUGUUGGACAUCGCCUGCGCCCAUGCCAAGAUUGUCUCGCUUGUUGAAGUUUGUCUUGUAGUUUAUUUGCAGGGUUGACAUUUGAUAUGAAAUGUAAUCUUUGCCUUAGAUAGUAAUAUUCUGCAUAAAAUGUGUAUAAAAAAUUGUUGUACGCAGCAAAAAUUUUUAACGAAACUUCUGAUCAGAGAAAAAGAAAGAAAUGAAUGGCGUCGACCCUGCAUGUCGCUGGUUAUAUGUUAUAGAUUUGUUUCUAAAUCGUAGUACAGUAUUUUAUCCGCUCAUAUCGUUUCAAGGUAUUUUAUUUAUUAUGUAUAUUUAUUAUUGUGUCGGAAGGAAGUACCCAUCAAUUCUCAAACAAAAAUACGGCACUAUUUGGAGUUCACCUUUAACAAAAUAAUUUUAAUUCAAAAAGUAUUUUGCUGAA